This is a small nuclear RNA of Rattus norvegicus (Norway rat), 128 nucleotides long. Ensembl annotates it as U4 spliceosomal RNA. Lineage: Eukaryota; Metazoa; Chordata; Mammalia; Rodentia; Muridae. The record is from Ensembl.
AGCUUUGCGCAGUGGCAGUAUCUUAGCCAAUGAGGUUUAUCCGAGGCGCGAUUAUUGCUAAUUGAAAACAAAGUGUAUACAAAAACACAUGGCUUAAACCCAAAUUUUAGUCUGUUUCCAACUAUGGA